Canis lupus familiaris (dog) is the source of this 4105-nucleotide long non-coding RNA. RefSeq lists it as uncharacterized. The transcript has 2 exons. The record is from RefSeq and is a predicted model, not a curated record. Lineage: Eukaryota; Metazoa; Chordata; Mammalia; Carnivora; Canidae.
UGCUACGGGGAGCGUGGGAAAGGCAGGAGGGAUUUCAGGCAGUUAGUGACCUGGGAUUUCAGGCAGUUAGUGACCUGGAGAUCACACUGGGGGCUUCCUCGCGGCUCCCAAGUCUCUGAGAGCUCCCAGUGGGAACCAGUGGGGGGAGGGCUGGUGAGUGCGGAACGGCUCCAAGUGCCUGUUGCUUUUGGAAGCGGGUGUCAAAGCAGCCAGAGAAUGCACUUAUUGUUCCAUUCUAUGUGGAUUCCAAGCCACUGCCUUCCAUCUGUUGAAUGUCUGGGUUUUGCUUAUUGAGAGAGCGCCUGGUGCCCGCGGGCUCCUGCCUCCCUCGGGGCCUGCUCCAGCCUCGCCGACCCGGCCCGCGGUCAUUGCCUUUCCCUUGUCUGGCCCUCCGGCCUCCACCCGGAACACGAGCCCUCAGAGUCCUCCCGGCCGCCUGGAGCACUGGCCAGGAUGGAGCCCUGGGGGCGGCGGGGCUCGUGCCCUUUAAGGAAGCAUUCUUCCCCAGCCUUUGGACAGUCUUGCAGGUGUCACUUCGUGUCCCUUGCUGGCUGUCAAAGAAUGAUGAUGGCUUUGGCCUUGCCUCCAGCCCAGUGAAGGGACCGCAUCGGAGCCCGGGCACCAUGAGACUUGCUUUAGAAGUGGCUAGAAGGGAGAGAUCGGGGCCGCGGGAGACCUUUGAGCUGGGGGUAGCCUCGCUUGGGUGGUUAGAGUUGGCCGCCUGACUCAUGGUCGGGAUAACGUGUCCCCAGAAAAUUGGAGCGAGCGCGAUUAUUAUAGUUCAGUUUUGUCGUUGAACGCUCGGAUGUUAUUUGGGCUAAUCCAGUGAUGGACCUGUGGGCCGGUGUGCUGCCUGGCGUGGAGACCUCACCGCCCAGCAGAUGGCUCGUUAGCCCGAUGCUUAUUUAUUCCCCAUGUAUCCCAGUCACCUGACCCGACCCUCUCCAGUCAUCUCCUUCUGGCGCCCUGGAAGGACAGGUGUCCGAAUGCCGUGUGCGGCUCUGAGGAGCGUGCACAUCUCCGUCCGGCAUCCCGUGGGGCGCUGGGGCCUCCUGGCUGCCUGGUUCUGUAGCCAGAAUAAUGAUCUCUCUCGUCAGCGUGUGAGGAGCUAGGAUGCCGCCGCGGGUCCGGUUCAGAGAGACUUAGCUCUCGCCCCCGAGAGGAGUCCUUGCCUUUGCCUCAUGCCCGCGUGGGGCAGUGGUUCCAGCGCGCAUCAGCACCGCUGUGCGUCCGCGCCUCCCCUGGUGCUGGCGUUCGGGAGGGAAUACACUAAAAUCUCGGGCUGGAGGAGCUGGCGUUUCACUGCGAGACACACAAGGUGGGACAAAUAAAUGGAGCAUGUCGCGUGUUGGAUCGUCAUGAGUGCAAAGGAGAAAAGUCACUUGGGGAAGGAGAUUCCAAAUGUGGCACGUGGGGGCUUGACAUAUUAAAGAGUGAGCCAGGCACAGUGCGCAGGAGUCGGGGAGCCAGGAGCCCAGGAGGAAAGAACCUUCUAGCAAAGGGAUCAUCCCGCUGCUGGGUGGCAGGGCUGCAGCAGGGAGAGCUGCAAAGACACUGCUGCUGUCGCUUUUGCAAACAACACUGGCGGUCGUGGACCACAGCGGUGAGAAGUGGCUGGAUUCCGCACCCGGUUUGGAGGUUGCUCACAUCUUUCAUUUCUGCUCAUCGCUUGGGUUGAUGUCAUUUCGACCUGUUUGCUCUCCUUCCCUUUUAUAUCGUGUGGUCCUGCCUGAACUCCUGCUCCCUCAUCCUGGACGGCCCCUGGGGUAGGUAAGGUCCGAGGAGCCAGCGCUCCCCUGUAUGUCCUGAAUCAGCCCAGGUGUCUCCUGGGGUCCUCGACCUGCAUUCCUGGCCACCAGGCGUGCAGCCGGUGUAAGUUCCAAGAAUCAAGACAAAACCCGAGAAAACCACCUGCCUCUGCCUGCUGGGCUGGGGGCUGGGGGCAGGAUGGGGAGCCUGGGUGGAGCGGGAGGCCCAACUUGGAGUUCACGUAGUCCCAGGGGGAGUCACAGGGAAGGAAGCCUCCGAUUGUCUGGGAUGUUCCGAGUGCGAGCUCCUGCCUAAACCUCACAGGGAAGGGGAAGUGGUGAGGGAGCGCCCGGAGAUGCAAAGCCACCGGGCUCCUGAGGACCAGAACCGAGUCCAGCCUCUGUCUCUGGCCCCGCGUGGACUCUGUGCUUUCUUCCGGUGCCGAAUGCACAGGUGCGUUCUGUAUGCAGAGCUUACUCGCUAACCGCCGCAAAGACCGCACCAAGGGAGAAUUUCAAAGUAAGGCAUCAGAGCCAAAAUGAAGAGCAGAGGGACCAAGCUGAGACACGGUGGGAGGGGCUGGCCCUGGUCCCCGGGUCCCACACAGGCUCUUCAUCUCUGGCUUGAGGACGCGAAGCCACGUGAGGAGGAAGAGCAGGUCUCCCGUGUCUCUGCAGGGAGGAUGCAGAGAUUAGCAGGGAAGUUCAGGGAAAAGUCCAGAGGACGACGUGUGUCCGGGGUGGCUUGGCCAGGCGGAGCAUCCUCCCUUGCGGCCAGCAGCGCCCAGCACCUGCUCCCAGCACCUGCUGCUGGUCUGCCCCGAGGGCAUCCCCCUGCCUGUUCUUUUCCUUGGGCCUACCUGGUGUUUUUAAUAAUUGCUCUGGGAAGGAUCCAGUGGCUGCCUCUACCAAUUCUUUUUCUGAACCAGGGGUGGGGUGGGGGGCACCAAAUGAAUGUAUGGAACAAGCCAAGUGCAUUGGUGCCAACUGCAUAUAUGGCGCUGAGCAGGCUUUAUGAGGGGAGAUUGGGGUGUGCCGGGCUCUGGGAGCCCCGUAGGACGGGAUUAAAAUGAACACGCUCACUGGAUCUAAGACGCUUUACACUCUGACAGUUUUAUCAUCCGCCUCUUGGAGGGAUCAGCCUGUUUCAUACAUACAUAAGGAACUGAAAACCCCGUAAACUGCUCUAACCCCCUGGGGAAGCCGCUUGGCAGGAUGCUCCAGGAUCUGCCCCGAGCUUCGGGGCGAAGGGAGGAAAAGCGUGUGCAGCAAGGGCCCGUGUUACCGGAGUUUGAUUUGUACCCACGUCAGCUUGUGUCUUUUCAUGGUGUUGGUAAUUAUAAAAUUAUUACUGUUUGUAAAUGUUUCAAAUAAUGCAGUGCGAGAGGCAGGGUCCCGAACAGAUCAGGACGUGGAGCCCCACCGUCUUCUGAAUCCUCGGCCCGUGGCUCUCUGACUUGCACAUUUUCUUUUUUCUUCUCUUGUUCCCUGCGCGGUGGUCGUUGGGAUCUUCCCAGGAUUUUGUGGUUCCGAGUAGUAUAGGCAGGAACCUCAUGGGCGUCCUUGGGGAGCCGUGCUGUUAGUCUGUAGCACUGAUCCUGGGACGUCAGGCUUCAGGGUGGAGGUGUAUGCACAUCUAAAUUUUUGAUUUUGGGAACACCUGGGUGGGGUCGGCGUUUGAGUGUCUGCCUUCGGCUCAGGUCGUGACCCCGGGGUCCCGGGAUCGAGUCCCGCAUCGGUCUCCCCGCAGGGAGCCUGCUUCUCCCUCUGCCUGUGUCUCUGCCUCUCCCUCUGGGUCUCUCAUGAAUAAAUAAAUAAAUAAUCUUUUUAAAAAAUCUUUAAAUUUUUGACUUUGCUGAAUUGCCCUCUGGAUGGUUAUAGCACGGUUCUGGCUGCCAUCAGCAAGCGGAGAGGUCCUUUCUGCCACACUUUGAACAAAAUGAGAUAGCCGUGAUCCUGUUUGCAUUUGCCAAUCGAAGAAGAAGAGAAACAUCUUUUUUUCCCUUUUUUUAAACAUUUAUUUGAGAGAGAGAGAGAGAGAGAAUGCAUGCACAAGCCAAAGGGUGGGAGGAGGCAGAGGGAGAGGGAGAAAGAAUCCGCAUCAGAGUCCUCGCCGAGCAUAGAGCCUGAAGUCGGGCUUGAUUCCACGACCCUGAGGUCAUGACCUGAGCCGAAACCAAGAGUUGGACACGUAACCACCUAUGCUACCAGGCGCCCCAGAAACAUCUUAUUUUAGCUUGCAUUUCUGUGUUUUCAAGUGAGAUGAGACAGCUCUCCUGCUUGUGGGCCGUUUGUGCUUCUCUGGCAAAUUCAUAUUCUUUGCCCUUGUUUUAUUAAAAAAUAUUUUUUAUUAUUGA